GAUGAACGCUGGCGGCGUGCCUAAUACAUGCAAGUCGAGCGAACAGACGAGGAGCUUGCUCCUUUGAUGUUAGCGGCGGACGGGUGAGUAACACGUAGGUAACCUACCUAUAAGACUGGGAUAACUUCGGGAAACCGGAGCUAAUACCGGAUAAUAUUUCGAACCGCAUGGUUCGAUAGUGAAAGAUGGCUUUGCUAUCACUUAUAGAUGGACCUGCGCCGUAUUAGCUAGUUGGUAAGGUAACGGCUUACCAAGGCAACGAUACGUAGCCGACCUGAGAGGGUGAUCGGCCACACUGGAACUGAGACACGGUCAAGACUCCUAAGGGAGGCAGCAGUAGGGAAUCGUCCGCAAUGGGCGAAAGCCUGACGGAGCAACGCCGCGUGAGUGAUGAAGGUCUUCGGAUCGUAAAACUCUGUUAUUAGGGAAGAACAAACGUGUAAGUAACUGUGCACGGCUUGACGGUACCUAAUCAGAAAGCCACGGCUAACUACGUG
This 497-nucleotide ribosomal RNA is filed under the name uncultured bacterium. RNAcentral's name for it is "partial 16S ribosomal RNA". It matches the Rfam family "Bacterial small subunit ribosomal RNA", at positions 28 to 507 of the family's 1533-position model. The record is from RNAcentral.